CUACGUGCCAGCAGCCGCGGUAAUACGUAGGGGGCGAGCGUUAUCCGGAAUUAUUGGGCGUAAAGAGUGCGUAGGUGGCACCUUAAGCGCAGGGUUUAAGGCAAUGGCUCAACCAUUGUUCGCCUUGCGAACUGGGGUGCUUGAGUGCAGGAGGGGAAAGUGGAAUUCCUAGUGUAGCGGUGAAAUGCGUAGAUAUUAGGAGGAACACCAGUGGCGAAGGCGACUUUCUGGACUGUUACUGACACUGAGGCACGAAAGCGUGGGGAGCAAACAGGAUUAGAUACCCUGGUAGUCCACGCCGUAAACGAUGAGCACUAGGUGUCGGGGUCGCAAGACUUCGGUGCCGCAGUUAACGCAUUAAGUGCUCCGCCUGGGGAGUACGCACGCAAGUGUAAAACUCAAAGGAAUUGACGGGGACCCGCACAAGCAGCGGAGCAUGUGGUUUAAUUCGAAGCAACGCGAAGAACCUUACCAGGACUU
This 480-nucleotide ribosomal RNA is filed under the name uncultured bacterium. RNAcentral's name for it is "bacterial SSU rRNA". It matches the Rfam family "Bacterial small subunit ribosomal RNA", at positions 501 to 982 of the family's 1533-position model. The record is from RNAcentral.